AAAGAGGAAUAUGGUGAAGCAGUGGGUUAGUGUGAGAAACCAAUAACUGCAAAGAAGUGAGGAGUCUGGGUACCCAAAUCAUGAAUCGACCUUCAGUGAUACUGCUUGGAGUAAGCUCUUCUGGCCAUUGGAGCUGCACCACCCCAACAACCCUGAGUUAAUCCUAACCUAAUCACGGGACAACUUACAAUGACCAAUUAACCUACUAACCGAUACAUCUUUGGACGUGGGAGGAAACUGGAGGUCCCAGAGAAAACCCACACAUUCCACGGGAAAGAUGUAGAAACUCCUUAUAGAGGGCGCCGGGACAGAACUCUAAACUCUGAUGCUCCAAGCUGUAAUAGCAUCGCCCUAACUGCUACGCUAUCAUGACACAAUGGCACCAGCUAUCUUCCUUUAUCUUGGCCAAGCACCUUUUCUUCGUCUUAUAAUGGAACACAAGCUUGUGCAUUCUUCGACCAGAAAUGCGGUCCAACAGGACUUCUUCCCAUCAAAUGGUGCCAAUGAUGACCAGACAACAGAUGGAACCUGUCACAUAAAUGGAUUCAUCAUACUGUAGCCUUGUUACUUUGUGGAAAUUUCCUUCAAAAAGCAAGCAGAUUUCUGAAAUAAUAACCAUGUUUUCAUCAGCUGUGAUUGUAAUAAUAUCAGAAGCAAAAAAUACAUGAACCCUUGGAGAACAGAUCCGGUCUGUGGAAUUCCCAGUGUUUUAUUAAGCUA
This is a long non-coding RNA of Hypanus sabinus (Atlantic stingray), 720 nucleotides long. RefSeq lists it as uncharacterized. NCBI's taxonomy places the organism in Eukaryota, Metazoa, Chordata, Chondrichthyes, Myliobatiformes, Dasyatidae. The record is from RefSeq and is a predicted model, not a curated record. The transcript is spliced from 3 exons.